This 460-nucleotide ribosomal RNA is filed under the name Paludibacter sp. RNAcentral's name for it is "bacterial SSU rRNA". It matches the Rfam family "Bacterial small subunit ribosomal RNA", at positions 398 to 858 of the family's 1533-position model. The record is from RNAcentral. Lineage: Bacteria; Pseudomonadati; Bacteroidota; Bacteroidia; Bacteroidales; Paludibacteraceae.
CGCGUGAAGGAAGAAGGUUCUAUGGAUUGUAAACUUCUUUUGUAAGGGAAUAAAACAGACCACGUGUGGUCUCUUGUAUGUACUUUACGAAUAAGGAUCGGCUAACUCCGUGCCAGCAGCCGCGGUAAUACGGAGGAUCCGAGCGUUAUCCGGAUUUAUUGGGUUUAAAGGGUGCGUAGGCGGACCUGUAAGUCAGUGGUGAAAGUUUGCGGCUCAACCGUAAAAUUGCCAUUGAAACUACCGGUCUUGAGUGUAAAUGAGGUAGGCGGAAUGUGUUGUGUAGCGGUGAAAUGCUUAGAUAUAACACAGAACACCAAUUGCGAAGGCAGCUUACUAGGAUACAACUGACGCUGAGGCACGAAAGCGUGGGGAUCAAACAGGAUUAGAUACCCUGGUAGUCCACGCAGUAAACGAUGAAUACUAGCUGUAUGCGAUAUAGUGUAUGUGGCAAAGCGAAAGC